UUAAGCAUAUCACUAAGCGGAGGAAAAGAAACUAACCAGGAUUCCCUAGUAACGGCGAGUGAAGAGGGAAUAGCCCAGCACCGAAGCCUGCGGUAGUUUUACUGCUAGGCAAUGUGGUGUUUGGGUCGGCUCGCGGGAUUGCCACUCCACUCGAAGUCCAGCACUGAGUAUGGUUCCCUGGAUUUGGCCCAGAGAGGGUGAAAGGCCCGUGCGAGUGGAGGUUCAGACAUGUGAGGCAAUUCACCAGGCCGACCUUCGAGUCGGGUUGUUUGGGAAUGCAGCCCAAAGC
RNAcentral lists this ribosomal RNA (289 nucleotides) under Ligula intestinalis. RNAcentral describes it as "partial 28S ribosomal RNA". It matches the Rfam family "Eukaryotic large subunit ribosomal RNA", at positions 34 to 293 of the family's 3401-position model. Lineage: Eukaryota; Metazoa; Platyhelminthes; Cestoda; Diphyllobothriidea; Diphyllobothriidae. The record is from RNAcentral. RNAcentral also lists the same sequence under 1 other name.